Leopardus geoffroyi (Geoffroy's cat) is the source of this 281-nucleotide long non-coding RNA. RefSeq lists it as uncharacterized. Lineage: Eukaryota; Metazoa; Chordata; Mammalia; Carnivora; Felidae. The transcript has 3 exons. The record is from RefSeq and is a predicted model, not a curated record.
CUUUGAGGAGAGUAGCUGCCCGGCGCCUGGAUCAUUGUCUGCCUGGUCCCUGCCAUCACAACACCCUCCUCUCAUGGAGGAGAAAAAAGAGCAAGAAUUCAGUCCUGGUUGAAGUCCCAUUUGAAAAGGUGUUUAUGGAAGCUGGAGAAGAGCCCCAGGAGGCAGCAUCAGAGCCAGGAGUUUGGGGACUCGGUGGGCUUUAAAGGUUUGUUACUGACCGGCGAAGUCCAGCAUCGGUCCUCCCGCCAGAUGGGGGCAGUACUCCGCACGCCUAGGGCCGG